RNAcentral lists this ribosomal RNA (278 nucleotides) under uncultured Oscillospiraceae bacterium. Its description in RNAcentral is "partial 16S ribosomal RNA". It matches the Rfam family "Bacterial small subunit ribosomal RNA", at positions 511 to 788 of the family's 1533-position model. The record is from RNAcentral. Lineage: Bacteria; Bacillati; Bacillota; Clostridia; Eubacteriales; Oscillospiraceae.
GCAGCCGCGGUAAUACGUAGGUCGCAAGCGUUGUCCGGAUUUACUGGGUGUAAAGGGCGUGUAGGCGGAGAUGCAAGUCAGGUGUGAAAUCCCGGGGCUCAACCCCGGAACUGCACUUGAAACUGUAUCCCUUGAGUAUCGGAGAGGCAAGCGGAAUUCCUAGUGUAGCGGUGAAAUGCGUAGAUAUUAGGAGGAACACCAGUGGCGAAGGCGGCUUGCUGGACGACAACUGACGCUGAGGCGCGAAAGCGUGGGGAGCAAACAGGAUUAGAUACCCC